Non-coding RNA from Caenorhabditis elegans, 220 nucleotides. NCBI's taxonomy places the organism in Eukaryota, Metazoa, Nematoda, Chromadorea, Rhabditida, Rhabditidae. The record is from Ensembl.
AUUCAAAAGGUCACAAACGACCAUCUCACUCUCGAAAAGUUUUCUUUUUGCAGUUGCAGAAAAAUCCUGAAAAAUAAAACAAAAAGUCUCAUAGAAGGUUUAUCCACCACUGAACAGUCGGUACGUGAACAGUAGAAUAAUCUAAUCAUCGACCCGAAGGCGAGUGGAAAUGAACUGCAUCCCGUUGUUUGCCAGGCCACACUUUUACCACCUGCGCCAU